CUGGGAGUAUUCUUGCUGUUCUGGUUUUGUAAUAAUCAAGGCUAUAUUAAGACCAAGCCUGUGUCCCGAGACCUAGUUCCUUCCCUAGAACUGGUUUUGUAAAUGCUGGUGAUAAAC
Molecule: small nucleolar RNA, 117 nt
Organism: Artibeus jamaicensis (Jamaican fruit-eating bat)
Lineage: Eukaryota; Metazoa; Chordata; Mammalia; Chiroptera; Phyllostomidae
Product: small nucleolar RNA SNORA72
Exons: 1
Source: RefSeq, a predicted model, not a curated record